Molecule: long non-coding RNA, 243 nt
Filed under: Cyanistes caeruleus (blue tit)
Lineage: Eukaryota; Metazoa; Chordata; Aves; Passeriformes; Paridae
Description: lncRNA (ENSCCEG00000020639.1)
Source: RNAcentral
UUCUCCUGAUAUCUUCUCCUUGUUCUGAUGAGAAGAUGAGCUGCAUGUAAACAGGAGCCAGGACUGUAAUGUUUCAGGAGUAAGAAAAUAUAGAGAAAGUGAAGAUAGUCCCUGCAUCAAAGUGGGAUAAGCUCAAAGAACUGAAGUAUACACUUGAUAACAUAAGGCUGUAGCAGAGGAAAAGCAGCAGUUACAUUGCAGAGUAAUUUGCAGUUACUCAGUAAAUACAUCCAGGGGUUUGAG